UCUUUUUCCAUUUUUUUUAAGUAUGACCAACUUAACAUUUGCCAGUUUUCGUAUCUGAAUGUAAACCUAGACCUAUUUUGGUGGAUUCUUGAAAUGAUACCAGUAGAACGUGUGUAUUAGAACUCUAGGUUGGGUAAAGUUUGUUAUUCUGUUUAUGAAUUGAUACAAUUUGGUUCUUAAAUCUUAUUUUGUUUUCUAAAUAUUAUUAUAGUAGUGUUCCCCAUCAAAGGGCGAAGGGAGAGCACAACUUGGUGUCUCCCUUUUUUUAAUGAAAGUGUGGUUUCACGUGUAAAAUGUCAUUGCCUUUUAAGUUACUUUAUGUGUAGGUUCAUCUUCUUCAAGAAAAAAAAAUGUUAAAAGUUCUGAUCCACGGUGAGUAAAAUCUCAAGUCUCAACGCACUCAGCAUUACCGAGCGAAAUCUUUCGAUUUCUUUCAAGAAAAAUUUUGCACUUCCAAACUCAGUAUUGACAAGUGGAUGAUGCAAUGAUUGUGGUUGUUGGAUGUACCCUUCUGUUCUUAGCACUAAAAUAGGGUUGACCUUUGGGUUCAUCUUAGGAACUUCCACUUUAGUAUUACUACUGGAACUAUUUUUGGGGUCAAAAUCAUCUUUGCGCUAACCAUCCCUUGCCUCCUUCCUUCAACCAGGAGAACCACUUCCUUACACUAUUGCAAAGGUUUGAUCUAGGAUUCUAGGGGUUCGGGCAUUCCAGAGGGCUUAGUUGGUAACCGUUUAGUACUUACAUUUCUUUUGUUCAUCAGAUGUUUGUAUUAACACAGGUAACACACUAAUUUUGUUCUUCAGGUGUUUUGAUAUGGGAAUUUCUAUUGUUCAUCAGGUGUUUCGGUUUGGGAAUUUCUAUUGUUCAUCAGAUGUUUCGAUUUGGAUAUUUGAAAGACGCCUAUGGGGUGUUUGUUGAAAUGCAUGUGUAAGAUUAAUUCUUUUAGGGGCUAAUUCUGUUUCUAGAGUGUGGAAUUAAUUCUUUUGGGGGCUUAUUUUGUUUCCAGAGUGGGGAGUAAACUAUUUUUAGGAGCAAAAAUUUAUGUUUUUGUUUUAAUAAUUAGUCCCAAUACUUCCUGCAAAAAUUCCCCGUACUUGGGGUUGGAUGCUCAUUUCCAUUGCAAUAAGAGGUUGUUUAUUGCCAUUAUCCACCUUCGUUCACUCAAAAGGAGUUGAUUUCUUUCCAUAGAUUUCUGUUUUAGAUGUGAUUUAUGAAAAAUUUGUAUCUCUUAGUAGAUAUGUUUUUUUGUAUAUCAAAAACAUGUUUCAGUUCAAUUGAUGUAUUACUACUCAACCUAAUUGUUUCACAGAUUUUUUUGGUUAACAUGUUUUGUGCUAUCAAGUUUUUUUAUUGCCCAAUGUCAACUUUACAAAGUUAUGAUUUCAUUUUGUUUCUUAUUCUUCAGGUGUGAUUGAUUUUAAGACCAUGAGAGCCUCGAGGGAAUUGUUGGGUUCUAAGUCCAGAUUAUUGGUUUAGGUUGAUGGAGUAAGCUUAUGCACGAAGCACUCCUCAAAUGCUCUCACAAGGGUGUGAGCCUCCACACAAACACAAGUUGAUCCAAGGGCUGAGAUUCAUUUGAUCCAAGGGAUGAGGAAGAUUGGACUAACCAUAAGGCUUCCCCUAAUAGUUCCAUAGUUGGUCUCUCUCGAAGCAACAUAUGUAGUGGAGAUAAAGAUGGGUUCCUCUUGCAAAAGUUCAACAAACUUGUGAGGGAUUUCCAUUUGGCUGGCACCAAGGCUAGUUUUUCUCCCAAAAAGGAUGAACUAUUGGGAGAGUGAUGAAGAGAAAAUUUCAAGAUAGUUAGAAGAGUAAUGAGGAAACACUUUUGGGACAAUGAUCCUUUUAUAGAUUACAUCCUUUGUAGACAACCCGUUUUUGUUACAUUUGUGUUUGAGUUUGCCUCUUAUGGAGUCUUUUUUCUUACAACCCAUUUUUGUUACAUUUGUGUGUGAAUUUGCCUCUUAUUGAGUCUUUUUUUCGUGUCAUAUUUGAACUUGGCUCCUAUGAAUGCAACAUGGUAUUAGUUGGAUUUGGAUCCUUUCAAUGGAACUUGGUGUUUAACGAAAAAAUUGCAUGUUUUAAAA
Molecule: long non-coding RNA, 2084 nt
Organism: Rhododendron vialii
Lineage: Eukaryota; Viridiplantae; Streptophyta; Magnoliopsida; Ericales; Ericaceae
Exons: 2
Source: RefSeq, a predicted model, not a curated record